GUUUUCUUCAGUAAAUUAAAGAUUCAAACAUGGAACAUUGAACGGCCAUUGGCAGUUGACGGGGAGUUACAGGACAUCCGUAAGCAGUCUCACAAGUGAACCAUAACGCGCAAGGUCUACUAUCAACUGUAUCUCAGCUGCAUAAUAAUGUCGAGAAAAGCUGCUUCAAACCAAAAUGAGCUUUAAGUGCUUCUUUAGACAACAAUUUUGCAUUAUUUUGAUAUUGAAAAAACUUUUCACCCAUUAUAAAAAUACACAAAGUGUAGUUGUGCAGUUA
Daphnia pulex (common water flea) is the source of this 277-nucleotide long non-coding RNA. RefSeq lists it as uncharacterized. The transcript has 2 exons. NCBI's taxonomy places the organism in Eukaryota, Metazoa, Arthropoda, Branchiopoda, Diplostraca, Daphniidae. The record is from RefSeq and is a predicted model, not a curated record.